Molecule: transfer RNA, 87 nt
Filed under: Sandaracinus amylolyticus
Lineage: Bacteria; Pseudomonadati; Myxococcota; Polyangiales; Sandaracinaceae
Source: Rfam by way of RNAcentral
GCCCGGAUGGUGGAAACAGCAGACACACCGGUGUGAGGCGCCGGGGCCCGAUCGAGGGCGAUGCAGGUGCGAGUCCUGCUCCGGGCA